CAGGGAGACAACAAAAUGUUUAAUAUUAUUAUUUUGUCACCUUAGGUCGAUCGGUAUCUCACAUUCUUAAUUUAUUAAGGAUUUUAUUUCCUAAGUUUUUUCUAGGUCACACCCAUUACUUUUCCUGGGCCAUUAGCUCAGGUGGUUAGAGCGCACCCCUGAUAAGGGUGAGGUCCCUGGUUCAAGUCCAGGAUGGCCCAUAUCUCUAUGUUGGGGGUAUAGCUCAGUUGGUAGAGCGCCUGCUUUGCAAGCAGGAUGUCAGCGGUUCGAGUCCGCUUACCUCCACUGAUUACCACCUCUUCCAUAAUUAUUAAGGAAAUGUUUUGAGUAGUGAUCAAAUUCUGAACGAAUCUAGCUUCCUAAUGUAUUCAUUAAGAUGCUGGACUCAUUGAAUUAUUUUCAUUGUUUUCAGAGAACCUUGACAACUGCAUAGAUUAUUUUUAAAGACAAUAAGCAUCUUUAUGAUGCAGAUUUAUUAUUUGUGCGAAUGCAUUAAUAACAAUUCUAUUAAGCUGAUGCUUCAAUUAUGAAGUUAUU
This 537-nucleotide transfer RNA is filed under the name uncultured Prochlorococcus sp. RNAcentral's name for it is "partial 16S-23S ribosomal RNA intergenic spacer". The stretch from base 213 to 285 matches the Rfam family "tRNA". Lineage: Bacteria; Bacillati; Cyanobacteriota; Cyanophyceae; Synechococcales; Prochlorococcaceae. The record is from RNAcentral.